Molecule: long non-coding RNA, 403 nt
Organism: Oxyura jamaicensis (ruddy duck)
Lineage: Eukaryota; Metazoa; Chordata; Aves; Anseriformes; Anatidae
Exons: 2
Source: RefSeq, a predicted model, not a curated record
UAAUUAGUAAAAGGGCUCCUUCACUAAGUAUCCUUUGGCAGUUCUCAUUCCCCCUUCAGAGUUUCUUGGGAAGUAUGGCAGUAUGGAGCACUCUUCUGCCUUGGAGAAGACAGUGCCAGGAGCACAAGUAUUUGGCAAGCUCAGGCCCAGAAAGGAGAAAAGUGGUGGAAAGGAGAAGAAAUUUCCACAAAAAUACAACCAGUAUAGAGGUUCAUAUGAGACUAUACAUUCUAUGAUCUACUUGCUAUCAGAGAUAAGAGGAUAUGCAAGGCAUGUUCAUGCCCUGUGGUCCCUGGGAAUCUGAAUGUCCUCCUGCAGCCAAAGAACAAAACAAAACAAACAAAAAACAAAAACGAACAAAGAAGCAAAAAAAAAAAAAAAAGAGAGAGAAGGGAAAAAAAGA